GAUGAACGCUAGCUACAGGCUUAACACAUGCAAGUCGAGGGGAAACGACAUCGAAAGCUUGCUUUUGAUGGGCGUCGACCGGCGCACGGGUGAGUAACGCGUAUCCAACCUGCCCAUCACUUGGGAAUAACCUUGCGAAAGUAAGACUAAUACCCAAUGAUAUCCCACGAAGGCAUCGGAAUGGGAUUAAAGAUUUAUCGGUGAUGGAUGGGGAUGCGUCUGAUUAGCUUGUUGGCGGGGUAACGGCCCACCAAGGCAACGAUCAGUAGGGGUUCUGGGAGGAAGGUCCCCCACAUUGGAACUGAGACACGGUCCAAACUCCUACGGGAGGCAGCAGUGAGGAAUAUUGGUCAAUGGGCGAGAGCCUGAACCAGCCAAGUAGCGUGCAGGAAGACGGCCCUAUGGGUUGUAAACUGCUUUUAUAAGGGAAUAAAGUGGGUCACGUGUGACUUUUUGCAUGUACCUUAUGAAUAAGGACCGGCUAAUUCCGUG
Molecule: ribosomal RNA, 492 nt
Filed under: uncultured bacterium
Lineage: Bacteria
Description: partial 16S ribosomal RNA
Rfam family: Bacterial small subunit ribosomal RNA
Source: RNAcentral